UCCGGGCGGACGCCGAGUCCUGCCGCCGCCCGGAUGACCGGUCGACAGGAGUGGAUCGGCAGGAGUGGAGGACCCAAGCACGACGGGUCGCCGGCACGGAAGUUCGCGCCGAGCAGCCCUUGGGGUGAAGCCGCUUACGCGGCCGGGCUACUUCGCCAGCCCGAAUCCGACAGGUCAUCCUUCACAGGCGGCUGACGAAGGGUUG
RNAcentral lists this small RNA (205 nucleotides) under Streptomyces davaonensis. Its description in RNAcentral is "Streptomyces davawensis c-di-AMP sequence". It matches the Rfam family "c-di-AMP riboswitch aptamer (ydaO/yuaA leader)". Rfam says of the family: This family represents a conserved RNA structure found upstream of the ydaO and yuaA genes in Bacillus subtilis and related genes in other bacteria. The ydaO/yuaA element is thought to act as a genetic "off" switch for the ydaO and yuaA genes in its native state. The record is from RNAcentral. Lineage: Bacteria; Bacillati; Actinomycetota; Actinomycetes; Kitasatosporales; Streptomycetaceae.